Molecule: ribosomal RNA, 187 nt
Filed under: Salmonella enterica subsp. enterica serovar Kentucky
Lineage: Bacteria; Pseudomonadati; Pseudomonadota; Gammaproteobacteria; Enterobacterales; Enterobacteriaceae
Description: partial 23S ribosomal RNA
Rfam family: Bacterial large subunit ribosomal RNA (bases 1-153)
Source: RNAcentral
CUAAAGAGUAACGGAGGAGCACGAAGGUUGGCUAAUCCUGGUCGGACAUCAGGAGGUUAGUGCAAUGGCAUAAGCCAGCUUGACUGCGAGCGUGACGGCGCGAGCAGGUGCGAAAGCAGGUCAUAGUCAUCCAGACCCUCAAACAUCAGUGACAUCCAGGACGGAAUGCGGACAUUGGUCAUAUCGG